RNAcentral lists this ribosomal RNA (253 nucleotides) under uncultured bacterium. RNAcentral's name for it is "partial 16S ribosomal RNA". It matches the Rfam family "Bacterial small subunit ribosomal RNA", at positions 524 to 776 of the family's 1533-position model. The record is from RNAcentral.
UACGUAGGGUGCGAGCGUUAAUCGGAAUUACUGGGCGUAAAGCGUGCGCAGGCGGUUCGUUAUGUCCGAUGUGAAAGCCCCGGGCUUAACCUGGGAAUGGCAUUUGGGACUGCAAGGCUUGAGUGCGGCAGAGGAGACUGGAAUUCCUGGUGUAGCAGUGAAAUGCGUAGAUAUCAGGAGGAAUACCGAUGGCGAAGGCAGGUCUCUGGGCUGACACUGACGCUCAUGCACGAAAGCGUGGGGAGCAAACAGG